UGGGCUUAGGUUCUUCCCUUUUAAAACAAGUUUUCAGGACACAGAUUUUGGGAAGCCAUGCAAAUAAAAGCAGAAGCUGUUUUCCCUUUGGAAAUGGCCACCUGCCUGAGGACAGUACCCCUGGACUGCAGAGAGAUGUUCCCUCGGCUAUUCUGAAGGAUAGAGUUUGGGGCCUGAAAAUUUCGAACAAUUAAAGCCAAUUAAUAGGUUUGUUUUUCUUUUUAUCUGGCAGCCAGAAGAAGAACCAGCAAGACUCAGGAGUUGCCCUGACAUUCUUGUGACGUAUGACAGUCAGAUUCUCCAGAGAGACAGAACCAACAAGAUCAACUUCUCAUCAGUGAAUUCCUCAGGAACCACCUCUAGGAGCUCCUCAGUGGCAUCAUCAUCCGCAUCCCAGUUAAAGUUGCUUGCCAUCUCAACCACAGCCUUGAAAAUGAUGUAUGAGCGAAGACAGCAGAGUGACAAGAACAACCUGCAGGGGAGAACCUCACACACAGGAAUAUGUUAAGUGCUAUUCUGCCAGAGGUUGCUCAAACCAGAUGCUAUUGAAGAACAGCAAACAUUAAUAUGAUACAAGAUUGAAAACGUCAGAGGGACAUAAAGAUCUGCCUUUCCUGUGGGAUUGUAAAAGGUUCUAGCAGAACAAGGAAAAGAAAACAGACUGCAAAGAAAACUCAGGAAGCCCAAUGAAGAGGGCACUUUGGGUCCUGAAGCACAUUUGGUGAUGGCACCUAUCUGAUGGACACCUAACAAUGUUCCCUGCCUGCAUUGUAUGUAUGUAAUGCAUAGUGAAUAAGUGUGAUGUUAAGAGUUACUUGCCAAAUUCCAUUUGGCAUUGUAUCUCAGAGUAUCUGUUAGUUUUUCUGGAAAUAUAACUACCAUAAUGGACCUUAAAAACGCACAAAUGGUAUUCUCUACCUGAAAAUUGUUUGGAUUAACUUUUGAUCUUUUGCCUGGUUAAAGACUUAAAAGUUUUUAUGUUAGAUCUUGCUUAAACUAUAUCUUAU
Microcebus murinus (gray mouse lemur) is the source of this 1007-nucleotide non-coding RNA. NCBI's taxonomy places the organism in Eukaryota, Metazoa, Chordata, Mammalia, Primates, Cheirogaleidae. The record is from RefSeq and is a predicted model, not a curated record.